AGUGUUUUGCCAAGUCACAGACAAU
This 25-nucleotide non-coding RNA is filed under the name Rattus norvegicus (Norway rat). The record is from RNAcentral. Lineage: Eukaryota; Metazoa; Chordata; Mammalia; Rodentia; Muridae.